This 1918-nucleotide ribosomal RNA is filed under the name human gut metagenome. RNAcentral's name for it is "bacterial LSU rRNA". It matches the Rfam family "Bacterial large subunit ribosomal RNA", at positions 3 to 1999 of the family's 2925-position model. The record is from RNAcentral.
UCAAGCUAUAAAGAGCGUAGGGAGAAUGACUUGGCAUCAGGAGCCGAAGAAGGACGUGACAAGCUGCGAAAAGCUGCGGUUAGGAGCAAAUAUCCAUAGACCCGCAGAUAUCCGAAUGGGGAAACCCGGUACGGCAAUACCGUAUCACUGCAUGGUAAAUACAUAGCCAUGUGGAGGAAACCCUCUGAACUGAAACAUCUAAGUAGGAGGAGGAAGAGAAAGAAACAUCGAUUUCCUAAGUAGCGGCGAGCGAAAGGGAAAGAGGCCAAACCAGAGAUAGCAAUAUCUUUGGGGUUGCGGACUGCAAAAUUGAUUCAAUAUUUUUAGCAGAAGUGUAUGGGAAGACACACCAUAGUAGGUAAUAGUCCUGUAAGCGAAAAGGAUAUUGACAAGGCAGGAUCCAGAGUACCACCGGACACGAGGAACCCGGUGGGAAGCCGGGGGGACCACCCCCCAAGCCUAAAUACUACCUGAUGACCGAUAGUGAAAAGUACAGUGAUGGAAAGUUGAAAAGAACCCCGGAAGGGGAGUGAAAAAGAACCUGAAACCCUAUGUUUACAAGCUGCUAAAGCACCAUAUGAGUGCGAUAGCGUACUUUUUGUAGAACGGUCCGGCGAGUGUAUGUUGCAAGCGAGGUUAAGGUGUUAAGCACUGAAGCCGAAGGGAGACCGAGUGUGAAUAGCGCGUACAGUUUGCAGUAUACGACCCGAAACCGGGUGACCUAACCAUGGACAGGUUGAAGUGGAAGUAAAAUUCCAUGGAGGACCGAACCCACGUCUGUUGAAAAAGGCGGGGAUGAGCUGUGGUUAGCGGUGAAAUUCCAAUCGAACUCGGAUAUAGCUGGUUCUCAUCGAAAUAGCUUUAGGGCUAGCCUCAGGAUAGUUUAGCGGAGGUAAAGCACUGAAUGGGCUAGGGGGCUUCACGGCUUACCGAACCCUAUCAAACUCUGAAUGCCGCAUAAAUGUUUCCUGGGAGUCAGACUGCGUGAGAUAAGUUUCGUAGUCAAAAGGGAAAGAGCCCAGACCUACAGCUAAGGUCCCUAAAUGAAUUUAAGUGGAAAAGGAUGUGCAGUUGCGUAGACAACUAGGACGUUGGCUUAGAAGCAGCCACUCAUUUAAAGAGUGCGUAAUAGCUCACUAGUCGAGUGAUUGUGCGCCGAAAAUGUAACGGGGCUAAAAUUCAUACCGAAGCUUAGGAAUGAUAGUAAUAUUGUUGGUAGAUGAGCGUUGUGUAAGUCUGCGAAGCUACACCGAAAGGAGUAGUGGAGAUAUCACAAGUGAGAAUGCCGGAAUGAGUAGCGAGAAUUAUGUGAGAAUCAUAAUGGUCGAAAAUCUAAGGUUUCUUGAGGAAGGUUCGUCCGCUCAAGGUAAGCCGGGAGCUAAGGCGAGGCCGAGAGGCGUAGUCGAUGCACAUACGGUAAAGAUUCCGUAGCCACCGAAGUCGUUAAAUACAGGGACACAGGAACAUAGCCUAACCCCACCGUUGGUUGAGUGGGGCGUAAGGGAGCGAAAAUUAGUAGCGAAGUGGGUGAUUGUACACUGGCGAGAAAAGCUGUAUGAAUUGACAAGGUGCCCGUACCGCAAACCGACACAGGUAGAUGAGGAGAGAAUCCUAAGACCAGCGGGAGAAGUGUUGUUAAGGAACUCGGCAAAAUGACCCCGUAACUUCGGGAUAAGGGGAGCCUACGAGAGUAGGCCGCAGAGAAUAGUCUCAAGCGACUGUUUAGCAAAAACACAGGUCUAUGCUAAAUCGAAAGAUGAUGUAUAUGGGCUGACGCCUGCCCGGUGCUGGAAGGUUAAGGGGAAGUGUUAGAGCAAUCGAAGCACUGAACUUAAGCCCCAGUAAACGGCGGCCGUAACUAUAACGGUCCUAAGGUAGCGAAAUUCCUUGUCAGGUAAGUUCUGACCCGCACGAAUGG